AGGAUAAUAAUUUAACAUAAAAUAUUUAAUUUGCAAUUAAAAAUUAUUGAGCCUCAAUUUAUCUU
Molecule: transfer RNA, 65 nt
Filed under: Pselaphinae sp. 3 EF-2015
Lineage: Eukaryota; Metazoa; Arthropoda; Insecta; Coleoptera; Staphylinidae
Description: tRNA-Ala
Source: RNAcentral